Long non-coding RNA from Dromaius novaehollandiae (emu), 362 nucleotides. RefSeq lists it as uncharacterized. The record is from RefSeq and is a predicted model, not a curated record. The transcript is spliced from 4 exons. NCBI's taxonomy places the organism in Eukaryota, Metazoa, Chordata, Aves, Casuariiformes, Dromaiidae.
UGGACUUUGAAAUAGCUAGAUUGGACCUUCGAGCUUGAAACGAUAAGAGGCAUUUUGAAAAUGUUGGAACUAAUGGUAGCAGUUUCAGCCUGAAAGACAUCCAUUAUUGAAUUAGAAUGAACUCCCUGCUUCUGUGUACCUCCGAAGCUCAACGGAGACACCUGAACAAGCAGUACGUCAAAGAAUUCACAAGCAGGAAAUAAUUAAGCGGGUUCUGAUGGCUUACCAAGACCACAACCUGGCUUUUCACCUAAGACUGACAUAAAGAAACAUUCAGCUGAAUGCACUGCAAGUUAGAGCAGCCAAACAUCAGAAACCGUCAACUAAAGUUCGGUAUCUUGGUGUGCCUUUUGUUUGUUUGU